This 1872-nucleotide long non-coding RNA is filed under the name Ananas comosus (pineapple). RNAcentral's name for it is "long non-coding RNA (ACOM_LNC019915)". Lineage: Eukaryota; Viridiplantae; Streptophyta; Magnoliopsida; Poales; Bromeliaceae. The record is from RNAcentral.
UGUUCCGGUUUUUGUUCUUGUGAACGUUGACAUCGAUUCGUUCCAAAUUUACACUCUCUGGGCAUGAUAGAACAAUAUAAUAAGGUUUUACGCUUUAUUCGAUAGAAUGGGAAAAAGUACUCGCUGCAAAGUUAUACUGUUAUGGGCAACUGAGUAGUCUAAUGUUGUUCCGGUUUUUGUUCUUGUGAACGUUGACAACGAUUCGUUCCAAAUUUACACUCUCGGGGCAUAAUAGAACAAUAUAAUUAGGUUUUACUCUUUUUUCGAUUGAAUGAGAAAAAGUACUAGUUGCAAUGUUAUACUGUUAGGGCUCAACUGAGUAGUCUAACUUUGUUCCGAUUUUGGUUCUUGUGAACGUUUACAUCGAUUCGUUCCAAAUUUACACUCUCGGGGCAUGAUAGAAAGCAUUUAAUCCUUGUUCGAUAGAAUGAGAAAAAGUACUCGUUGCAAAGUUAUACUGUUAUGGGACAACUGAGUAGUCUAAUGUUGUUCCGGUUUUGGUUCUUGUGAACGUUGACAUUGAUUCGUUCCAAAUUUACACUCUCGGGGAAUAAUAGAACAAUAUAAUUAGAUUUUGCUCUUUGUUCGAUUGAAUGAGAAAAAGUACUAGUUGCAAAGUUAUACUGUUAGGGCUCAACUGAGUAGUCUAACUUUGUUCCGGUUUUGAUUCUUGUGAAUAUUUACAUCGAUUCGAUCGAAAUUUACACUCUCGGGGCAUAAUAGAAAGCUUUUACUCCUUGUUCGAUAGAACUAGAAAAAGUACUAGUUGCUAAGUUAUGCUGUUAUGGCGGAACUGAGUAGUCUAAUGUUGUUCCGGUUUUGGUUCUUUUGAACGUAGACAUCGAUUCGUUCCAAAUUUACACUCUCGGGGUAUAGUAGAACAACAUAAUUAGGUUUUGCUUAUUGUUCGAUUGAAUGAGAAAAAGUACUAGUUGCAAUGUUAUACUGUAAGGGCUCAAUUGAGUAGUCUAACUUUGUUCCGAUUUUGGUUCUAGUGAACGUUGACAUCGAUUCGUUCCAAAUUUAUACUUUCGGGGCAAAAUAGAACAUUAUAAUUAGGUUUUGCUCUUUGUUCGAUUGAAUGAGAAAAAGUACUAGUUGCAAUGUUAUACUGUUGGGGCUCAACUUAGUAGUCUAACUUUGUUCCGGUUUUGGUUAAUGUGAACGUUGACAUCGAUUCGUUCCAAAUUUACACUCUCGGGGCAUAAUAGAAAGCUUUUACUCCUUGUUCGAUAGAAUGAGAAAAAGUACUCGUUGCAAAGUUAUACUGUUAUGGCGCAACUGAGUAGUCUAACUUUGUUCCGGUUUUGGUUCUUGUGAACGUUUAUAUCGAUUCGUUCCAAAUAUACACUCUCGGGGCAUAAUAGAAAGCUUUUACUCCUUGUUCGAUAGAAUGAGAAAAAGUACUCGUUGCAAAGUUAUACUGUUAUGGGGCAACUGAGUAGUCUAAAGUUGUUCCGGUUUUGGUUCUUGUGAACGUUGACAUCGAUUCGUACCAAAUUUACACUCUCGGGGUAUAAUAGAACAAUAUAAUUAGGUUUUGCUCUUUGUUCGAUUGAAUGAGAAAAAGUACUAGUUGCAAAGUUAUACUGUUAGGGCUCAACUGGGUAGUCUAACUUUGUUCCGAUUUUGGUUCUUGUGAACGUUUAUAUCGAUUCGUUUCAAAUUUACACACUCGGGGCAUAAUAGAAAGCUUUUACUCCUUGUUCGAUAGAAUGAGAAAAAGUACUCGUUGCAAAGUUAUACUGUUAUGGCGCAACUGAGUAGUCUAAUGUUGUUCCGAUUUUGGUUCUUGUGAACGUUGACAUUGAUUCGUUCCAAAUUUACACACUCGGGGUAUAAUAGAACAAUAAAAUUAGGUUUUGCUCUUUG